GAUGAAGAACGUAGUGAAAUGCGAUACGUAAUGUGAAUUGCAGAAUUCAGUGAAUCAUCGAGUCUUUGAACGCACAUUGCGCCCCCUGGUAUUCCGGGGGGCAUGCCUGUCCGAGCGUCAUUGCUGCCCUCAAGCACGGCUUGUGUGUUGGGCCUCCGUCCUCCUCCCGGGGGACGGGCCCGAAAGGCAGCGGCGGCACCGCGUCCGGUCCUCGAGCGUAUGGGGCUUCGUCACCCGCUCUUGUAGGCCCGGCCGGCGCUUGCGGACACAUCAAUCUUUUUUCCAGGUUGACCUCGGAUCAGGUAGGGAUACCCGCUGAACUUAAGCAUAUCAAUAAGCGGAGGA
This 345-nucleotide unclassified non-coding RNA is filed under the name soil metagenome. RNAcentral's name for it is "partial contains 5.8S ribosomal RNA, internal transcribed spacer 2, and large subunit ribosomal RNA". The stretch from base 1 to 120 matches the Rfam family "5.8S ribosomal RNA", at positions 35 to 154 of the family's 154-position model. The record is from RNAcentral.